GACGAACGCUGGCGGCGUGCUUAACACAUGCAAGUCGAACGGUAAGGCCCUUCGGGGUACACGAGUGGCGAACGGGUGAGUAACACGUGGGUGAUCUGCCCUGCACUUCGGGAUAAGCCUGGGAAACUGGGUCUAAUACCGGAUAGGACCACUGCCUGCAUGGGUGGUGGUGGAAAGCUUUUGCGGUGUGGGAUGGGCCCGCGGCCUAUCAGCUUGUUGGUGGGGUGAUGGCCUACCCAGGCGACGCCGGGUAGCCGGCCGGAGAGGGUGACCGGCCACACGGGGAGUGAGAUACGGCCCAGACGCCUACGGGAGGCAGCGGUGGGGAAUAUUGCACAAUGGGCGCAAGCCUGAUGCAGCGACGCCGCGUGAGGGAUGACGGCCUUCGGGUUGUAAACCUCUUUCAGCACCGACGAAGCGCAAGUGACGGUAGGUGCAGAAGAAGGACCGGCCAACUACGUGCCAGCCGCCGCCGUAA
Molecule: ribosomal RNA, 478 nt
Filed under: uncultured bacterium
Lineage: Bacteria
Description: partial 16S ribosomal RNA
Rfam family: Bacterial small subunit ribosomal RNA
Source: RNAcentral